Molecule: ribosomal RNA, 620 nt
Filed under: uncultured bacterium
Lineage: Bacteria
Description: bacterial SSU rRNA
Rfam family: Bacterial small subunit ribosomal RNA
Source: RNAcentral
AAACCGAUUUCGGUCGGUGGAAAGUGGCGAACGGGUGAGUAACACGUUGGUGACCUGCCCCGCGGUGGGGGAUAACACCUCGAAAGAGGAGCUAAUACCCCGGAUGUCGUUCUUUUGGAGAAGGACGGACUAAAGGAGAAAUCCGCCACGGGAGGGGCCUGCGGGCUAUCAGCUAGUUGGUGGGGUAAAGGCUCACCAAGGCGAAGACGGCUAGGGGGCGUGAGAGCGUGGCCCCCCACAAUGGAACUGAGACACGGUCCAUACUCCUACGGGAGGCAGCAGUGAGGAAUAUUGCCCAAUGGGGGAAACCCUGAGGCAGCAACGCCGCGUGGACGAUGACGGCCUUCGGGUUGUAAAGUCCUUUUCUGGGGGAAGAUGAUGACGGUACCCCAGGAAUAAGUCCCGGCUAACUACGUGCCAGCAGCCGCGGUAAAACGUAGGGGGCGAGCGUUAUCCGGAUUUACUGGGCGUAAAGCGCCCGCAGGCGGCGGGUCAAGUUGGACGUGAAAGCUCCCAGCUUAACUGGGAGAGGUCGUACAAAACUGACCGGCUAGAGGCUGAGAGAGGAGAGCAGAAUUCCCGGUGUAGUGGUGGAAUGCGUAGAUAUCGGGAGGAAUACC